UUAGUUGGUGGAGUGAUUUGUCUGGUUAAUUCCGUUAACGAACGAGACCUCGACCUACUAAAUAGUUCGACGAACCCUUCUGGGUUCGGACGGCACUUCUUAGAGGGACUAUCGGUGUGUAGCCGAUGGAAGUUCGAGGCAAUAACAGG
RNAcentral lists this ribosomal RNA (149 nucleotides) under Cercozoa sp. RNAcentral's name for it is "partial small subunit ribosomal RNA". It matches the Rfam family "Eukaryotic small subunit ribosomal RNA", at positions 1294 to 1460 of the family's 1831-position model. The record is from RNAcentral. Lineage: Eukaryota; Cercozoa.